GGCAGAGCAAGACUGUCAAAAAAAGAUAUAAAGUGUGGUAGGCAAGAAGAGGAAAGAGAUCAUCUCAGCUGUUUUUGGAUAUUGGAAGUGAGCUGAGACCUGAGAACUGAGACGCUGCCUGUUGCAGGAAAACACAACCAACGCAUGGAGACGCAGCAGAGAGGGAGCCAGCACACAAAUGGCCUGACUUCAUCCCCCUCCUAUCCUCCUAAAUCUAGCGCAUGCUGCCUAUUGUCCACCCCAACCAAAGACCAAAAGACAAGGAAGCUCAUCAUACUCAAUGGUGAUAGACUGAAAGCUUUCCCCAUAAGAGCAGAAACAAUAUAAGGAUGCCAGUUUUCAUCACUGCUAUGUAACAUUUUACUGGGAGUCCUAGCCAGAGCAGUUUGGGAAGAAAAAGUGAAACACUGUCAUUAUUUGGAAUCACAAUAGUCAUCCAAAUUGGAAACGAAGAAAUAUUUACAGUUGCAGAAGACAGGAUUCUACAUAUAGAAUAUCCCAAGGAAUACACAAAAAUAUCGAUUAGAUCUAGUAAAUUGAUUUAGGAAAGUUGUAGGGUAUAAGAUGAACACACAAAAACCAGUUGUGUUUCUAUACAUCAACAAGGAACAAUCCUAAAAAAAAAAAAAUUCCAUUUAUAAUGGCAUCCAGAAGAAUCAAAUACAAUUCUUAAGAAUACAUUUAACCUAAGAGGUGAAGGAUACACUGAAAAGUAUAAAGCUGCUGAGUAAAACUUAAAAAGACCUAAUUUAAUAUAAUGAAUUUCCAUGGUUAUGUAUCAGAAAACUUAAUAUUGUUAAGACUGCAGUACUUCCAAAAUGAGCUACAGAUUCAAUGCAAUCCCUAUAAAAAUUUUAAUGGCCAUUUUUGCAUAAAUGGAAAGAUUGAUCCUCAAAUUCACACAGAAUUGCAUGAGGCCCUAAACAGCCAAAACAAUAUUGAAAAAGAGAAAUAAAGCACUACAAAGCUACAAUAAUCAAAACAGUGUGGUAAAGUCAUAAAGAUAGACAUACAGUCCAACAGAGUAGAGUUUACAAUCCAAAAAUAAACCCAAACACCUAUGGUCAAUUGAUUUU
This is a long non-coding RNA of Sapajus apella (tufted capuchin), 1076 nucleotides long. RefSeq lists it as uncharacterized. NCBI's taxonomy places the organism in Eukaryota, Metazoa, Chordata, Mammalia, Primates, Cebidae. The record is from RefSeq and is a predicted model, not a curated record. The transcript has 2 exons.